This 1356-nucleotide ribosomal RNA is filed under the name Triticum aestivum (bread wheat). Its description in RNAcentral is "partial small subunit ribosomal RNA". Lineage: Eukaryota; Viridiplantae; Streptophyta; Magnoliopsida; Poales; Poaceae. The record is from RNAcentral.
AUGGCAGAUCCAAUUACCCUUAAUGCUGCUGUAGGAUGGGGCGUAUCUGCAGUAGGUUGGCUCGCCUCACCCAUCAUUUCUAGGCUCCUCAACAAAGCUUUCACCCUCCUUGACUUUAACCCGACGGAGAAGCUGAAGAUAGUUGAUAUACAAGUUCAGCAACUGCAGAGGGUGAUGGAAGUAGUCGACGAGAGCACUUACAAAUUUCGUUUGGAGCCGCUUUUAGACAAGCUUAAAUCUGCUCUCUAUGAAGCCGAAGACAUCUUGGAUAGUGUCGAGUACGAGCACCUCAAGAAGCAGAUCCAAGAUGGCAAGUCAGAUGGCAGUAAGAUGGAUUUGCUAAAGAAGAAUGUUCGGUCUGCCAUGCCGAGCUCCCCCCUAAAAGAUAAGGUGACUGGUAUGUCAAAAGUGGAGUUGAAGAAGAGCCUGGAGAAGAUAGAAAGUGCUAUAAAUGAUGCAUGUGAAAUUUUGAAACAGCUGAACUUGCCAUGUGUAAGUAAUGAUAAGGGGAGACAAGCUGUUCCUACCAAUGCACGUAGUGCAGGCAUCAGUCCUCCAGUACGUGUAAUUGGUCGAGAUAAGGAUCUUCACAAGAUCAUAGCAAUGCUUCAUGAGAAGGAAGACCAGUGCCAAGCAGACACUGUCAGCGAUACAUGUUAUUCUGUGAUUGGCAUUCAUGGCAUCGCCGGGUCUGGCAAAUCAACACUUGCACGUUGUGUUUAUGAUCAGGAGAAAAAGCAGAAGCAAGAGAAUAUGGAUGGUCAUUUCGAGAUUGUCAUGUGGGUUCAUGUUUCUCAGAAAUUUGAGUUGGAUUCCAUUUUCAGGGACAUGUUUGAGGGGGCUACACGGGAAGUCUGCCCGGAUUUUAAUCGUCUUCAUGCCUUAAAAGAAAAUCUAGAGGAAAAACUGUGUGGAAAACGGAUUUUGUUGAUAUUGGAUGAUGUCUGGUACAACAGUAGGAAUUCGGAAGACCAUGAAGAACUACAAAAGUUAAUUUCUCCGCUGAAUGUUGGGAAGGCAGGAAGCAGAAUCUUGGUGACUAGUCGAACUGAAGAUGCAUUAUUAGCUCUGGGUGCUGCUCAAGAGAGAUGUAUUCCAAUAUCUGACCUGGAUGAUGAAGUGUUCCUCGAAAUGUUCAUGUAUUAUGCACUUGGAGAUGCAAGGGUAGGUGGCCAUGAUCGAAGAGAACUUGAAACGAUUGGAGAGGACAUUGCAAAAAAGCUUAAGAGAUCACCUCUAGCAGCCAGAACAGUAGGUGCACGGCUGCGUAAAAACCUGAAAGUCGAGAUUUGGAUGAGGGAGAAGGAUAGGGACCUUCUGAAAGAGACAAUGGGUUUCCAAGACGGCAUCAGUUGA